RNAcentral lists this ribosomal RNA (323 nucleotides) under uncultured eukaryote. Its description in RNAcentral is "partial 18S ribosomal RNA". It matches the Rfam family "Eukaryotic small subunit ribosomal RNA", at positions 1470 to 1796 of the family's 1831-position model. The record is from RNAcentral.
CCCUUAGAUGUUCUGGGCUGCACGCGUGCUACACUGAUAUUGCCAAUAUGUCAUUCUUAUCCGAAAUGGAUUGGGUAAUCAAGUAAUGAAAUUUCAUGCUUGGAAUCGGUAAUUGCAAUUUUAUCGUGAACGAGGAAUUCCUAGUAAGCACUAGUCAUCAGCUAAUGUUGAUUAUGUCCCUGCCCUUUGUACACACCGCCCGUCGCUACUACUGAUUGGGUGUUCAAGUGAGAUGCUUAGACCCUUGUUGCAUGGUUCAUUAUUGUGCUCCGAAAGGAAAAAGUUUCAAGCUGGAGUGUCUAGAGGAAGUAAAAGUCGUAACA